CCUACGGGGGGCAGCAGUGGGGGAUAUUGCACAAUGGGGGGAACCCUGAUGCAGCGACGCCGCGUGGGUGAAGAAGCGCCUCGGCGUGUAAAGCUCUGUCAGCAGGGACGAAAAUGACGGUACCUGAAGAAGUAGCCCCGGCUAACUACGUGCCAGCAGCCGCGGUAAUACGUAGGGGGCAAGCGUUAUCCGGAUUUACUGGGUGUAAAGGGGGCGUAGUCGGCGAUGCAAGCCAGAAGUGAAAGCCUGGGGCCCAACCCCGGGACUGCGCUUGGAACUGCGUGGCUGGAGUGCAGGAGGGGCAGGCGGAAUUCCUGGUGUAGCGGUGAAAUGCGUAGAUAUCAGGAGGAACACCGGUGGCGAAGGCGGCCUGCUGGACUGCAACUGACGUUGAGGCCCGAAAGCGUGGGGAGCAAACAGGAUUAGAUACCCGAGUAGUC
Molecule: ribosomal RNA, 440 nt
Filed under: uncultured bacterium
Lineage: Bacteria
Description: partial 16S ribosomal RNA
Rfam family: Bacterial small subunit ribosomal RNA
Source: RNAcentral